Molecule: ribosomal RNA, 500 nt
Filed under: uncultured Glomeromycotina
Lineage: Eukaryota; Fungi; Glomeromycota
Description: partial small subunit ribosomal RNA
Rfam family: Eukaryotic small subunit ribosomal RNA
Source: RNAcentral
CCAAUAGCGUAUAUUAAAGUUGUUGCAGUUAAAAAGCUCGUAGUUGAAUUUCGGGGUUAGUAGGUUGGUCAUGCCUCUGGUAUGUACUGGUCUCACUGAUUCCUCCUUCCUGAUGAACCUUAAUGCCAUUAAUUUGGUGUUUUGGGGAAUUUGGACUGUUACUUUGAAAAAAUUAGAGUGUUUAAAGCAAGCUAACGCUUGAAUACAUUAGCCUGGAAUAAUGAAAUAGGACGUUCGAUCCUAUUUUGUUGGUUUCUAGGAUUGACGUAAUGAUUAAUAGGGAUAGUUGGGGGCAUUAGUAUUCAAUUGUCAGAGGUGAAAUUCUUGGAUUUAUUGAAGACUAACUACUGCGAAAGCAUUUGCCAAGGAUGUUUUCAUUAAUCAAGAACGAAAGUUAGGGGAUCGAAGACGAUCAGAUACCGUCGUAGUCUUAACCAUAAACUAUGCCGACUAGGGAUCGGAUGAUGUUAAUUUUUUAAUGACUCAUUCGGCGCCUUACG